Molecule: ribosomal RNA, 516 nt
Filed under: uncultured bacterium
Lineage: Bacteria
Description: bacterial SSU rRNA
Rfam family: Bacterial small subunit ribosomal RNA
Source: RNAcentral
AGAGUUGAUCCUGGCUUAGGAUGAACGCUAGCUACAGGCUUAACACAUGCAAGUCGAGGGGCAGCAUUGGGGUAGCAAUACUCAGAUGGCGACCGGCGCACGGGGUGAGUAACACGUAUCCAACCUGCCGCUUACUCGGGGAUAGCCUUUCGAAAGAAAGAUUAAUACCCGAUGGUAUAAAGAGUUCGCAUGUUCUCUUUAUUAAAGAAUUUCGGUAAGCGAUGGGGAUGCGUUCCAUUAGAUAGUUGCGGGGUAACGGCCCACCAAGUCUACGAUGGAUAGGGGUUCUGAGAGGAAGGUCCCCCACAUUGGAACUGAGACACGGUCCAAACUCCUACGGGAGGCAGCAGUGAGGAAUAUUGGUCAAUGGACGAGAGUCUGAACCAGCCAAAGUAGCGUGAAGGAUGACUGCCCUAUGGGUUGUAAACUUCUUUAUAAGGGAAUAAAGUGGAGGGACGUGUCCCUUUUGUAUGUACCUUAUGAAUAAGGAUCGGCUAACUCCGUGCCAGCCGCCGC